CCUACGGGAGGCAGCAGUGAGGAAUAUUGGUCAAUGGGCGCGAGCCUGAACCAGCCAAGUCGCGUGAGGGAAGACUGUCCUAUGGAUUGUAAACCUCUUUUGUCGGGGAGCAAAAGACGCCACGUGUGGCGUUCCGAGAGUACCCGAAGAAAAAGCAUCGGCUAACUCCGUGCCAGCAGCCGCGGUAAUCCGGAGGAUGCGAGCGUUAUCCGGAUUUAUUGGGUUUAAAGGGUGCGCAGGCGGAAGAUCAAGUCAGCGGUAAAAUUGAGAGGCUCAACCUCUUCGAGCCGUUGAAACUGGUUGUCUUGAGUGAGCGAGAAGUAUGCGGAAUGCGUGGUGUAGCGGUGAAAUGCAUAGAUAUCACGCAGAACUCCGAUUGCGAAGGCAGCAUACCGGCGCUCAACUGACGCUCAUGCACGAAAGUGUGGGUAUCGAACAGGAUUAGAUACCCCUGUAGUC
RNAcentral lists this ribosomal RNA (459 nucleotides) under uncultured bacterium. RNAcentral describes it as "partial 16S ribosomal RNA". It matches the Rfam family "Bacterial small subunit ribosomal RNA", at positions 338 to 795 of the family's 1533-position model. The record is from RNAcentral.